RNAcentral lists this ribosomal RNA (460 nucleotides) under uncultured bacterium. RNAcentral describes it as "partial 16S ribosomal RNA". It matches the Rfam family "Bacterial small subunit ribosomal RNA", at positions 338 to 795 of the family's 1533-position model. The record is from RNAcentral.
CCUACGGGUGGCAGCAGUGAGGAAUAUUGGUCAAUGGGCGCGAGCCUGAACCAGCCAAGUAGCGUGAAGGAUGACUGCCCUACGGGGUGUAAACUUCUUUUAGCAAGGAAUAUAGUGAGGCAGGUGUGCCUUUCUGUAUGUACUUUAUGAAAAAGGACCGGCCACCACGUGGUCAGCAGCCGCGGUAAUCCGGAGACGCAGAGAGUUAUCGGAUUUUAUUGGGUUUAAGGGGAGCGUGGAUGGGUGGUUAAGUCGGUGGUGAAUGUUUGCGGCUCAAGGGUAAAAUUGCAAUUGAUACUGGCAGUCUUGAGUACAGAUGAGGUAGGCGGAAUUCGUGGUGUAGCGGUGAAAUGCUUAGAUAUCACGAAGAACACCGAUUGCGAAGGCAGCUUACUAAACUGCCACUGACAUUGAUGCUCGAAAGUGUGGGUAUCAAACAGGAUUAGAUACCCUAGUAGUC